Molecule: transfer RNA, 73 nt
Filed under: Mus musculus (house mouse)
Lineage: Eukaryota; Metazoa; Chordata; Mammalia; Rodentia; Muridae
Also listed under: 1 other name
Rfam family: tRNA
About the family: Transfer RNA (tRNA) molecules are approximately 80 nucleotides in length. Their secondary structure includes four short double-helical elements and three loops (D, anti-codon, and T loops).
Source: Rfam by way of RNAcentral
GUGGGAGUGGUUCUGUGGGCAAAGCACUUACCUGGCAAGCAGGAGGACCUGAGUUCAAUCCCCAGAGCCCACA